UUGAACGCUGGCGGCAGGCCUAACACAUGCCAGUCGAGCGGAUGAAGGGAGCUUGCUCCUGGAUUCAGCGGCGGACGGGUGAGUAAUGCCUAGGAAUCUGCCUGGUAGUGGGGGAUAACGUCCGGAAACGGGCGCUAAUACCGCAUACGUCCUGAGGGAGAAAGUGGGGGAUCUUCGGACCUCACGCUAUCAGAUGAGCCUAGGUCGGAUUAGCUAGUUGGUGGGGUAAAGGCCUACCAAGGCGACGAUCCGUAACUGGUCUGAGAGGAUGAUCAGUCACACUGGAACUGAGACACGGUCCAGACUCCUACGGGAGGCAGCAGUGGGGAAUAUUGGACAAUGGGCGAAAGCCUGAUCCAGCCAUGCCGCGUGUGUGAAGAAGGUCUUCGGAUUGUAAAGCACUUUAAGUUGGGAGGAAGGGCAGUAAGUUAAUACCCUGCUGUUUUGACGUUACCAACAGAAUAAGCACCGGCUAACUUCGUG
Molecule: ribosomal RNA, 483 nt
Filed under: uncultured bacterium
Lineage: Bacteria
Description: partial 16S ribosomal RNA
Rfam family: Bacterial small subunit ribosomal RNA
Source: RNAcentral